Molecule: ribosomal RNA, 406 nt
Filed under: uncultured bacterium
Lineage: Bacteria
Description: partial 16S ribosomal RNA
Rfam family: Bacterial small subunit ribosomal RNA
Source: RNAcentral
AUUGAACGCUGGCGGCAGGCUUAACACAUGCAAGUCGAACGAGUGGCGGACGGGUGAGUAAUGCUUGGGAAUCUGGCUUAUGGAGGGGGAUAACGACGGGAAACUGUCGCUAAUACCGCGUACCAUAGGAUGAGCCCAAGGUGGAUUAGGUAGUUGGUGGGGUAAUGGCCUACCAAGCCGACGAUCGCUAGCUGGUCUGAGAGGAUGACCAGCCACACCGGGACUGAGACACGGCCCGGACUCCUACGGGAGGCAGCAGUGGGGAAUAUUGCGCAAUGGGGGCAACCCUGACGCAGCCAUGCCGCGUGAAUGAAGAAGGCCUUCGGGUUGUAAAGUUCUUUCGGUGACGAGGCGUUACCCGCAGAAGAAGCACCGGCUAACUCCGUGCCAGCAGCCGCGGUAAUAC